UAGGGAAUCUUCCACAAUGGACGAAAGUCUGAUGGAGCAACGCCGCGUGAGUGAUGAAGGGUUUCGGCUCGUAAAACUCUGUUGUUGGAGAAGAACAGGUGAUAGAGUAACUGUUAUCAUCUUGACGGUAUCCAACCAGAAAGCCACGGCUAACUACGUGCCAGCAGCCGCGGUAAUACGUAGGUGGCAAGCGUUGUCCGGAUUUAUUGGGCGUAAAGCGAGCGCAGGCGGUUUUUUAGGUCUGAUGUGAAAGCCUUCGGCUUAACCGGAGAAGGGCAUCGGAAACCGGGAGACUUGAGUGCAGAAGAGGACAGUGGAACUCCAUGUGUAGCGGUGAAAUGCGUAGAUAUAUGGAAGAACACCAGUGGCGAAGGCGGCUGUCUGGUCUGUAACUGACGCUGAGGCUCGAAAGCAUGGGUAGCGAACAGGAUUAGAUACCCUGGUAGUCCAUGCCGUAAACGAUGAGUGCUAAGUGUUGGAGGGUUUUCCGCCCUUCAGUGCUGCAGCUAACGC
This 513-nucleotide ribosomal RNA is filed under the name uncultured bacterium. RNAcentral's name for it is "partial 16S ribosomal RNA". It matches the Rfam family "Bacterial small subunit ribosomal RNA", at positions 355 to 858 of the family's 1533-position model. The record is from RNAcentral.